This is a non-coding RNA of Caenorhabditis brenneri, 72 nucleotides long. Lineage: Eukaryota; Metazoa; Nematoda; Chromadorea; Rhabditida; Rhabditidae. The record is from the annotation of a GenBank genome assembly.
GCACCCGUGGCGCAGCGGUUAGCGUUGUUGUCCUCCAAUUUCCCAUCGCGGGUUCAACCCCCACUGGGGUCA